Molecule: ribosomal RNA, 1131 nt
Filed under: Triticum aestivum (bread wheat)
Lineage: Eukaryota; Viridiplantae; Streptophyta; Magnoliopsida; Poales; Poaceae
Description: partial small subunit ribosomal RNA
Source: RNAcentral
AUGAGUGGCUGCUUCGUUAUGACCUUGAGGAUCAGCUCACGGUCAUUUACACCGACGAGGAGGCGUAUUGGCGACUCUGGGGGACCCAAAAGUGGGUCCUCAAGGGUGACGCCAAUACGGCCUAUUUCUAGGUCAUCACCAAUGGUCGUAGGAGGCGAAAUAACAUCCCCUUGCUUUGGGAUGGGGAAACCCUCCUGCAGCGCCUGGCCGAGAUCCGUGCUCAUGUCGAUCGCUUCUAUAAAGCCCUUUUUUCCGCCCCCUAGGGGAGGCUUGGCCCUAGCUACGGACUUCUGGAUUGGUCCACAGUGCAUCUUGCUCGCGGAAAAUGCCGCCCUCAUGGCUCCGUUCACUGAGGAGGAAGUCUGGGAGGCGAUUAACGGAAUGAAUCCAUUGUCCGCCCCUGGCCCCGACGAUCUGCCGGUGAAGUUCUUCCAGACCUUCUGGACUGCCGUCAAGCCAGAGGUCAUGGCCCUCUUUGAGGAGUUCUAUGUGGGCCUUAACUACGGGAUCAUCACAUUGAUUCCCAAGGUGCCUGGAGCCUCGGACAUUCGUCAGUUCCGGCCAAUCACAGUGAUCAAUGUGAUCUUCCGCAUUCUGGCAAAGCGGUACGCCAAUAGGGUGGCCCCUUUGGCUGACCGCAUCACCCACCCUGACCAGUCCGCCUUCAUCCAAGGCCGGUAUAUUCUGGAUGGGGUCCUUGUCUUCCAUGAAGUUCUGCAUGAGGUCUGGUCCAAAAACCUCAAAGCAGUCUUCCUGAAAAUUGACUUCCACAAAGCCUACGACACGGUUAGCUGGUCCUUCCUUCGGGAAGUGUUGCUCAGGAAAGGGUUCGACGAUCGUUGGGUCACCCGAGUCAUGCAGAUGGUGGCCUCUAGGCACACCGCGGUUAACAUUAAUGGGGAGAUCGGGCCCUAUUUCCCCACCUUAUGUGGGGUUAGGCAGGGUGACCCCUUCUCUCCGUUUCUGUUCAACAUGGUGGUUGACACCCUGGCGACGAUCCUUGAUAAGGCGAAGACCGCGGGCCACAUCCACGGCAUAGUCCCGCACCUAAUGGAGGGAGGUGGUGUCUCCCUCCUCCAAUAUGCCGACGACACCAUUAUCAUGGUGGAAGGCUCGACGACCGAUAUCUGA